Molecule: long non-coding RNA, 485 nt
Organism: Vitis vinifera (wine grape)
Lineage: Eukaryota; Viridiplantae; Streptophyta; Magnoliopsida; Vitales; Vitaceae
Exons: 2
Source: RefSeq, a predicted model, not a curated record
UCUAAUAUUCAAAAAAAAAAAAAAAAAGCUAGAACUAAAAAUGAAACAAAAAAGUAAAGAAAAACACUGAAGGAGGAGGCCAAUUCGCCAGGAUCGGACACCUUUCUGCACUGAGCUACUUCCUCCGGCUCCGGCGGACAGUGGUCGCCGAGAAGGGCACCACUGUUUCUCUUAUCCAUCUGCUUCAAGCCUAUUCAUUUCUUUACUAUUUCCCGAUUUCUCCCGGAGAUCACCAACUCAAGAACAAGCCUGGUUCUAGCUCAGGGGGAGAACAGUGCCCAACAAAAAAGUUCCGGAAAAGCACAAAACUGGUAUUCACAUUGUUGAUAUUAACCUCUGCCCUAGAUGGAAUUUCAUAUCAUAUAUGUUUCUGUUUCUCAUUGCAAGUUUCGCUGUUUCUGAAGAUGUCCUUUUUGGUUGUCUGCUACCAAACAAUCCUUAAAAUGUUUUAAAGCAUCUUCCCAUGAAUCCAAGCAUGAUUUUAC